Molecule: small nuclear RNA, 117 nt
Organism: Panonychus citri (citrus red mite)
Lineage: Eukaryota; Metazoa; Arthropoda; Arachnida; Trombidiformes; Tetranychidae
Product: U5 spliceosomal RNA
Exons: 1
Source: RefSeq, a predicted model, not a curated record
AAGCUCUGGUCUCCCUUCAACUAACGAUUUAAUCUUUCGCCUUUUACUAAAGAUUACCGUGGAGGGAGGCACAUAUUAUGAGCCUUACGCCAAUUUUUGACCCCUCCUCUGGGGGGG